Long non-coding RNA from Aedes aegypti (yellow fever mosquito), 902 nucleotides. RefSeq lists it as uncharacterized. The transcript is spliced from 2 exons. NCBI's taxonomy places the organism in Eukaryota, Metazoa, Arthropoda, Insecta, Diptera, Culicidae. The record is from RefSeq and is a predicted model, not a curated record.
UACCUCUUCACCAGGUAUUUUGCUUUACGAAAACAAAUGCGACACACGUUCUGUGGCGCGAAAAAUAACACUUUGAGGUAAAAAAAAAAUUGACAAAAAUCACACACGAGUGGUGAGCAAAUAACGAAUAAAAAUCGAAGGAAAAAAAAGUGUUCAGUGAUAAAAACAAGACUCGAACAGACGACAACCACACCUCUAUGGUGUGCAGUGAGCAGUCUCAGACGGGUUGGAUCGGGAGGAGUAAAUGGAACGCCAGGUCACCACCAUUCUCUGGGUGUGAGAAGCGACGAGAACGCGACGACGACCAUUCCCGGACAGAACCCGAAUCCGACCAGGAGAGGAUGAUUGCUGCAAGAAUAUCGAAUCGGAGUGCGACGAAACGACAGUAGUGACAGACGUGAUGGAGCGAGGAGAGUGGGAAGCAAUGACGACUAUUUCACGGUAGUGUGAAGCUGCGAGCACACGAAAAAAAGCGAGUGCGGCAAGCGAAAAAUUGAGCGCGAAACAAAUGGAGGUUGUUUUUUUUUUCUACCAUCGAAUUUAGAUAAACGCGUGAUUAAUGGAUUUUCGGGUGGCUGCGUGGCGACAAAAAACAGCGUUAGACUCGAAUACACAGAAAUGGAGCGGUGUUUCACGAGAACGAUGGGGCAACUUGAGGUGGUUUGAAAAGGUUGCAGAGCGGGAGUGAUCAGAAGGACUAUUCAAGGAAGGUUCAUCAAUUCGCAAUUUAUUUCAAUUUUAUUCUAAUCUUUCUGCAGAAGAGUGAUGGAUUUUAAGACAAGGAAUUUUGUCAAAAUGUUCGAAGAGGUAUUGUAAUGUAUUUGAUUGUUGAAUUGCAUUAAAAAAAACGGGAAUGCGCAUUUAAUUCAUAUCUGAUUAUAGAAUUGGUUUUCUAUCAAAAA